RNAcentral lists this long non-coding RNA (844 nucleotides) under Homo sapiens (human). RNAcentral describes it as "HSALNT0013054". Lineage: Eukaryota; Metazoa; Chordata; Mammalia; Primates; Hominidae. The record is from RNAcentral.
GCAGGUUGCAACUUGUGUGCGACUUUUAGGUCGUAAUUCUAACUCCAAGAGGCUCUUGGGUUAUGUGGCAACUCUGAAGGAUAAUUUUGGAUUUAUUGAAACAGCCAAUCAUGAUAAGGAAAUCUUUUUCCAUUACAGUGAGUUCUCUGGUGAUGUUGAUAGCCUGGAACUGGGGGACAUGGUCGAGUAUAGCUUGUCCAAAGGCAAAGGCAACAAAGUCAGUGCAGAAAAAGUGAACAAAACACACUCAGAGACCAGGAAAGGCUUCUUAAAAAAUGACAUAUGGUCACCUGGAAAAAGUAAGAGAUCAAGGCAUGUUUUAUUUAUGAAUACUUAUUAAUUCCUUAAACAAUUUUAUUUAAACAAUUCUAUUUAGGAAAAGCAGGCAUUUUGGUAGUUUAGAAGUAUUUAAAGUCCAGCAGCUGUUCUAAAAAUAGAACUUGGCUUCAGGUUCCCUACCCCAUUUCAAUAGCAGCCAGCCAACCUACCCUGUUAACAUUUGUGCUGUUAUUUUUUGCUUACUUGUCUUUCUAUGUAGUAGAGAUGAAAUAAAAUUGAAAGAUGUACCUGCCUUUGUUUUGUAGUGAAUGGCAUUACUGAGGAAGCUGAUCCCACCAUUUACUCUGGCAAAGUAAUUCGCCCCCUGAGGAGUGUUGAUCCAACACAGACUGAGUACCAAGGAAUGAUUGAGAUUGUGGAGGAGGGCGAUAUGAAAGGUGAGGUCUAUCCAUUUGGCAUCGUUGGGAUGGCCAACAAAGGGGAUUGCCUGCAGAAAGGGGAGAGCGUCAAGUUCCAAUUGUGUGUCCUGGGCCAAAAUGCACAAACUAUGGCUUACAACAUCACA